This 86-nucleotide transfer RNA is filed under the name Candidatus Saccharimonadota bacterium. RNAcentral's name for it is "tRNA-Tyr". It matches the Rfam family "tRNA". Rfam says of the family: Transfer RNA (tRNA) molecules are approximately 80 nucleotides in length. The record is from RNAcentral. Lineage: Bacteria; Candidatus Saccharimonadota. RNAcentral also lists the same sequence under 1 other name.
GCAGGGAUAGUGAAGCGGUCAAACACGGCAGACUGUAAAUCUGCUGGCUUAUGCCUUCGGGGGUUCGAAUCCCUCUCCCUGCACCA